Molecule: long non-coding RNA, 512 nt
Organism: Neodiprion fabricii
Lineage: Eukaryota; Metazoa; Arthropoda; Insecta; Hymenoptera; Diprionidae
Exons: 3
Source: RefSeq, a predicted model, not a curated record
UUGACGAAGCUACUGCAAAUGUCGACAAUGGAUACCAUGAGGUGGAAAUUCGCCGACUGUACGGUUUUGAUAAUAGCACAUUGAUUGAAAACGAUAAUGGACAGUGACCGAUUAUUGGUCAUGGAAGCCGGUCGCAUCUUGGAUUUUGGACAUCCCUAUUUGCUGUUGCAAAAUCGAGACGGCCACUUUUCGCUAAUGUUUCAAAAAACCGGAAAGGUGAUGAGGAAAGAACUUUCGAAGGUUGCUGAGAAUGCGAAACGGCUCGAUGUUGAAUCCAGGAAAAUAUCGAACGUCGGCACCAUCUCUAAUAUCAGAUAGACCAGACAUUCAUCGUGAAAAUAGUUCCAGAACUGACUGAGUCUGACUUCGAAUAAUCAGAUCCUCAAAGGCACUGAUGAAAAGCAAUUUCGUUGAACCCUUGUCAUCGAUCAUUAGGUACAACAAGAUACUUGCGUCUAACGCAGCUGCAGUUUACAGUCAAAUAUGUAAUUAAACGUUUAUAAAGCAUAAGU